Molecule: ribosomal RNA, 164 nt
Filed under: uncultured bacterium
Lineage: Bacteria
Description: partial 16S ribosomal RNA
Rfam family: Bacterial small subunit ribosomal RNA
Source: RNAcentral
UAGGGAAUCUUCCACAAUGGACGAAAGUCUGAUGGAGCAACGCCGCGUGAGUGAAGAAGGGUUUCGGCUCGUAAAACUCUGUUGUUAAAGAAGAACAUAUCUGAGAGUAACUGUUCAGGUAUUGACGGUAUCUAACCAGAAAGCCACGGCUAACUACGUGCCAG